RNAcentral lists this ribosomal RNA (498 nucleotides) under uncultured bacterium. Its description in RNAcentral is "partial 16S ribosomal RNA". It matches the Rfam family "Bacterial small subunit ribosomal RNA", at positions 28 to 507 of the family's 1533-position model. The record is from RNAcentral.
GACGAACGCUGGCGGCGUGCCUAAUACAUGCAAGUCGAACGAGAGCGACCGGUGCUUGCACUGGUCAAUCUAGUGGCGAACGGGUGAGUAACACGUGGGUAACCUGCCCAUCAGAGGGGGAUAACAUCCGGAAACGGAUGCUAAAACCGCAUAGGUCUUCGAGCCGCAUGGCUUGAAGAGGAAAAGAGGCGCAAGCUUCUGCUGAUGGAUGGACCCGCGGUGCAUUAGCUAGUUGGUGAGGUAACGGCUCACCAAGGCCGUGAUGCAUAGCCGACCUGAGAGGGUGAUCGGCCACAUUGGGACUGAGACACGGCCCAAACUCCUACGGGAGGCAGCAGUAGGGAAUCUUCCGCAAUGGACGCAAGUCUGACGGAGCAACGCCGCGUGAGUGAAGAAGGUUUUCGGAUCGUAAAACUCUGUUGUUAGAGAAAAACAAGUGCUAGAGUAACUGUUAGCGCCUUGACGGUAUCUAACCAGAAAGCCACGGCUAACUACGUG